Molecule: ribosomal RNA, 440 nt
Filed under: Paramicrothyrium sp.
Lineage: Eukaryota; Fungi; Ascomycota; Dothideomycetes
Description: eukaryotic LSU rRNA
Rfam family: Eukaryotic large subunit ribosomal RNA
Source: RNAcentral
UGUAGAGGAUGCUUUUGGCAAGGCGCCGUCCGAGUUCCCUGGAACGGGACGCCAGAGAGGGUGAGAGCCCCGUACAGGCGGACGCCGAGCCUCUGUAAAGCUCCUUCGACGAGUCGAGUAGUUUGGGAAUGCUGCUCAAAGCGGGAGGUAAAUUUCUUCUAAAGCUAAAUAUAGGCCAGAGACCGAUAGCGCACAAGUAGAGUGAUCGAAAGAUGAAAAGCACUUUGAAAAGAGGGUUAAAAAGCACGUGAAAUUGUUGAAAGGGAAGCGCCUGUGACCAGACUCGCGCCCGACGGAUCACCCGGCGUUCUCGCCGGUGCACUCCGCCGGGCUCGGGCCAGCAUCGGCUGUGGCGGGGGGAGAAAGGCGGCGGGGACGUGGCUCCCCCGGGAGUGUUAUAGCCCGCCGCUCAAUGCCCCCGCCGCGGCCGAGGACCGCGC